This 72-nucleotide transfer RNA is filed under the name Camelus bactrianus (Bactrian camel). It matches the Rfam family "tRNA". Rfam says of the family: Transfer RNA (tRNA) molecules are approximately 80 nucleotides in length. Their secondary structure includes four short double-helical elements and three loops (D, anti-codon, and T loops). The record is from Rfam by way of RNAcentral. RNAcentral also lists the same sequence under 1 other name. Lineage: Eukaryota; Metazoa; Chordata; Mammalia; Artiodactyla; Camelidae.
GAGGGUAUAGAUCAGUGGUAGAGUGCAUGCCUGGCAUGUGCAAAGUCCUGGGUUCAAUCCCCAGUACCUCCA